GAUUAACGCGAAGAACCUUACCUGGCCUUGACAUGCUACUAACGAAGCAGAGAUGCAUUAGGUGCCCGAAAGGGAAAGUAGACACAGGUGCUGCAUGGCUGUCGUCAGCUCGUGUCGUGAGAUGUUGGGUUAAGUCCCGCAACGAGCGCAACCCUUGCCAAUAAUUGCCAUCAUUUAGUUGGGCACUUUAUUGGGACUGCCGGUGACAAACCGGAGGAAGGUGGGGAUGACGUCAAGUCCUCAUGGCCCUUAUGGCCAGGGCUUCACAUGUAAUACAAUGGUCGGUACAGAGGGUUGCCAACCCGCGAGGGGGAGCCAAUCCCAGAAAGCCGAUCGUAGUCCGGAUUGCAGUCUGCAACUCGACUGCAUGAAGUCGGAAUCGCUAGUAAUCGCGGAUCAGCAUGUCGCGGUGAAUACGUUCCCGGGCCUUGUACACACCGAAUC
RNAcentral lists this ribosomal RNA (444 nucleotides) under uncultured bacterium. Its description in RNAcentral is "bacterial SSU rRNA". It matches the Rfam family "Bacterial small subunit ribosomal RNA", at positions 954 to 1396 of the family's 1533-position model. The record is from RNAcentral.